GGCUGGUCCGAUGGUAGUGGGUUAUCAGAACUUAUUAACUUUAGUGUCACUAAAGUUGGUAUACAACCCCCCACUGCUAAAUUUGACUGACUUUAA
RNAcentral lists this Y RNA (96 nucleotides) under Aotus nancymaae (Ma's night monkey). Its description in RNAcentral is "Y RNA (ENSANAG00000001641.1)". It matches the Rfam family "Y RNA". From Rfam's summary of the family: Y RNAs are components of the Ro ribonucleoprotein particle (Ro RNP), in association with Ro60 and La proteins. The record is from Rfam by way of RNAcentral. Lineage: Eukaryota; Metazoa; Chordata; Mammalia; Primates; Aotidae.